GGGGGAUAUUGCACAAUGGACGGAAGUCUGAUGCAGCGACGCCGCGUGGGGGAUGAAGGCUUUCGGGUUGUAAACCUCUUUUAUUCCUGAACAAGGCUUGGAUUGUUGUCUGGGUUGACGGUACCUGCAGAAGAAGCGCCGGCGAACUACGUGCCAGCAGCCGCGGUAAUACGUAGGGCGCAAGCGUUGUCCGGAAUUAUUGGGCGUAAAGAGCUCGUAGGCGGUUAGUCGCGUCUGCUGUGAAAACUCGAGGCUCAACCUCGGGCUUGCAGUGGGUACGGGCUGACUAGAGUGCGGUAGGGGUGACUGGAAUUCCUGGUGUAGCGGUGGAAUGCGCAGAUAUCAGGAGGAACACCGAUGGCGAAGGCAGGUCACUGGGCCGCAACUGACGCUGAGGAGCGAAAGCAUGGGGAGCGAACA
This 420-nucleotide ribosomal RNA is filed under the name uncultured Cellulomonadaceae bacterium. RNAcentral describes it as "bacterial SSU rRNA". It matches the Rfam family "Bacterial small subunit ribosomal RNA", at positions 356 to 774 of the family's 1533-position model. Lineage: Bacteria; Bacillati; Actinomycetota; Actinomycetes; Micrococcales; Cellulomonadaceae. The record is from RNAcentral.